This 1473-nucleotide small RNA is filed under the name Histoplasma capsulatum var. duboisii H88. Its description in RNAcentral is "Histoplasma capsulatum H88 hypothetical RNA". Lineage: Eukaryota; Fungi; Ascomycota; Eurotiomycetes; Onygenales; Ajellomycetaceae. The record is from RNAcentral.
UGUGCAGUACGUAUAUUCGGCAUGGGCUCCUCAGUUUGCCGCGAGGUUGAAGUUGUCAUCUACCGACAGCAAUUUGAUUGGAGCUGCCGGAAAUUUGGGAAUGUAUGCCAGCGGAAUUCCGGUAGGCCUUCUCAUCGAUUCUAAGGGACCAAGACCUGGCAUGUUGCUGGGGAUUGUGGCUCUUGGGGCGGGCUAUUUUCCAAUGCACCGAGCAUAUGUUUCCGGCAAAGGGUCGUUCGGAGUUCCGGCACUGUGUUUCUUCAUGCUUCUCACAGGAGUAGGAAGCAGCUGUGGAUUUUCUGGGGCGAUCAAAACGGCUGCAUCCAACUUUCCGGACCAUCGCGGUACAUCAACAUCCUUCCCACUAGCUGCUUUUGGGUUGAGUGCCUUUUUCUUUUCAACCCUCUCGGCAUUCGCCUUCUCAGAUAACACGGGUCAAUUUCUAUUGUUAUUGGCUAUUUGCACGCCGGCUAUCCUGUUCGUGUGCUCCAUCUUUGUCCGACUCAUACCACAUUCUGCUCCAUAUACUCCUCUCCCUUCGGACACAAAUCUACACCCUAGUUCAAGCCAGCUGCACAUUCCAAGCUCGCGAGGCAGUCGUUGUAGAGACUCUACAGAAAUAGGUAUGCCACAUGAAACCUCAAAUUCCACAACCCUUGAAGACGCUGCAUCAGGAUCUGCGGGCUGUUCGAAACCUGCUGCACCCAAGUUAGAUCAGCCUGAAACGUCCUCCUUAAUUGGUCGACAUCUUUCCCCAAGAACCUCCGAGGACUCGUUUCGCGAUGAAGACGCCUCCGUCAGUCCAGGCCGUGACUCACUAUAUGCAGAUGUUCGUGGCUGGUCGAUGAUUCCCACUGUGGAGUUUUGGCAGCUGUUUGUACUUCUAGGGUUGUUUACGGGUAUUGGAUUGAUGACAAUAAACAAUAUUGGGAACAACGCGAAAGCGCUGUGGAAGCACUAUGACGAUAGUGCGGAUUCCGAAUUCAUCCAAAAACAACAGAUGAUGUAUGUAUCUGUCUUAUCGAUACUUAGUUGCGUGGGACGCCUUUUGAGCGGCAUUGGCUCCGAUAUCCUAGUAAAAAACCUCCAUAUGUCGCGAUUCUGGUGCGUAUUCACAUCGGCGGUUGCUUUCUGCUUGGCACAGCUUGCCGGGUUCAUGAUUUCGGAUCCACACCUGCUCGUUGCCCUCUCGGGACUGACUGGACUCGCCUACGGCUUCCGAUCUUGUUUUUCGGCGAAUCAAGCCAUUCCCUCCAAUAUCCAAAGUGCCACGACGGCGGCAAAUUCUAUGCUAUGCGGCGCGAAUAUAAGAAUAAUGUCCUCAUCGCCUUCCAGACCAACCAACCCCUUGCUUUCCGUUAUAUUCUUAUUUCCACCCCCACCCAUACCCACACUACUUACAUAUAAAAGUAUGUCCCUUUUUGUUUCUAGUUGCAAGUGGACUCAGUUAUAAUUUCCCUACCGAACCGAGUC